Long non-coding RNA from Magnolia sinica, 1046 nucleotides. RefSeq lists it as uncharacterized. The transcript is spliced from 2 exons. NCBI's taxonomy places the organism in Eukaryota, Viridiplantae, Streptophyta, Magnoliopsida, Magnoliales, Magnoliaceae. The record is from RefSeq and is a predicted model, not a curated record.
CGCCGUGCAUCUGUUUUGAGAGAUCAUUUUAGAGCAUUAGGCUAAGAUUGAGUUGGAUCGAAAAUUCAAGUUGGCCUCACGGAAGGAAAUGUGGGGAUUGAGUGACCACUGUUUGAAACAUUCGUACGGCCACCAAGUUGAUUAGUCAGGAACAAAAAAAAACAAAACCCUACGGACCUCUCUCUCUCUCUCUCUCACGAACCCUCUCCUCUCCAAAACCUCCCCUCACGAAUCGUCAAAUAUUUCCUUCAGCGCCUCCUCUCUGCAUCCCCCUUGCAGAAGAAACCCUAGAAAUCUAGGUCUUACCACUAUUCCCUUCUAUAUGCACUGGAUUCAGGGCAUUCUCUUCCUCCAAUCAAAUAGACCAAAGCCUUAGAAUCAAUCCUUCUAGAAAUCAGCAACGCAAAACUAAAGAAAAUCACGAGCACUAAUGAGAUCAUCCUGUGCAUUAUGAAGUCGAUGUGGUAUCAUGGCGGGCUCGGAGAAUCCAAGCUUGGGCAUUGGUUGCUGCCAAACUUUGAAACCAUGUGAACGGGGGGUGGUAGCAUGGCAUGCAACCCAUUCAACUAUGACGUGGGCAUAGUGCACUCUAGAUGCUUGUAAAAAUGUCAUAGUGAAUGGGGAGGUGGAAAAGAAUACAGAAUGUAGUCCAAAUAGAAAUGAGACAGUCCCAAGAUUGACAUUCCUAGAAUCCUGAAAAAGAAGUCUCUGAUUGCUGCUAUGGAAGCUGCAGAUGUGAAGAACAAGUGGGAGAACAGCUCAUGGGGCCGAAAGCUGAUCGUGCAGAAGAGGAGCUUCUCUCAAUGACUUUGAUAGGUUCAAGGUUAUGCUGAGUUGGUGCAAUCAGGCAAGAACUCGCUAAGCUGAAAAAACAGGCUGUAGCUUAAAUAAAAUCUCUCAAGACUCCCUUGAUUUUUGUUACAGAUCUGUCAUAGUUGUGAUUUUGGUACUGUUAUUUCCAUUAAGUUUUGUUUUAAGCGCGAUUAGGUUUCACCUUUUUCUGUCCGACGGUAUUUGAAGUAAUCUUUGAGAGACUUGCAUUUAAA